RNAcentral lists this ribosomal RNA (515 nucleotides) under uncultured bacterium. RNAcentral's name for it is "partial 16S ribosomal RNA". It matches the Rfam family "Bacterial small subunit ribosomal RNA", at positions 28 to 523 of the family's 1533-position model. The record is from RNAcentral.
GAUGAACGCUGGCGGCGUGCCUAAUACAUGCAAGUCGAGCGAAUGGAUUAAGAGCUUGCUCUUAUGAAGUUAGCGGCGGACGGGUGAGUAACACGUGGGUAACCUGCCCAUAAGACUGGGAUAACUCCGGGAAACCGGGGCUAAUACCGGAUAACAUUUUGAACCGCAUGGUUCGAAAUUGAAAGGCGGCUUCGGCUGUCACUUAUGGAUGGACCCGCGUCGCAUUAGCUAGUUGGUGAGGGAACGGCUCACCAAGGCAACGAUGGGUAGCCGACCUGAGAGGGUGAUUGGCCACACUGGGACUGAGACACGGCCCAGACUCCUACGGGAGGCAGCAGUAGGGAAUCUUCCGCAAUGGACGAAAGUCUGACGGAGCAACGCCGCGUGAGUGAUGAAGGCUUUCGGGUCGUAAAACUCUGUUGUUAGGGAAGAACAAGUGCUAGUUGAAUAAGCUGACACCUUGACGGUACCUAACCAGAAAGCCACGGCUAACUACGUGCCAGCAGCCGCCGUAA